Molecule: ribosomal RNA, 253 nt
Filed under: uncultured bacterium
Lineage: Bacteria
Description: partial 16S ribosomal RNA
Rfam family: Bacterial small subunit ribosomal RNA
Source: RNAcentral
UACGGAGGGGGCUAGCGUUGUUCGGAAUUACUGGGCGUAAAGCGCACGUAGGCGGCUACGUAAGUCAGAGGUGAAAGCCUGGAGCUCAACUCCAGAACUGCCUUUGAGACUGCGUCGCUCGAAUCUGGGAGAGGUGAGUGGAAUUCCGAGUGUAGAGGUGAAAUUCGUAGAUAUUCGGAAGAACACCAGUGGCGAAGGCGGCUCACUGGACCGGCAUUGACGCUGAGGUGCGAAAGCGUGGGGAGCAAACAGG